UACGGGGGGGGCAAGCGUUGUUCGGAAUUACUGGGCGUAAAGGGCGCGUAGGCGGCCUGCUAAGUCGGGUGUGAAAACUCUGGGCUCAACCCAGAGCCUGCAUUCGAUACUGACGGGCUAGAGUUCUGGAGGGGAAAGCGGAAUUCCUGGUGUAGCGGUGAAAUGCGUAGAUAUCAGGAGGAACACCGGUGGCGAAGGCGGCAUUCUGGACCGAAACUGACGCUGAGGCGCGAAAGCCAGGGGAGCAAACGGG
This 253-nucleotide ribosomal RNA is filed under the name uncultured bacterium. RNAcentral's name for it is "partial 16S ribosomal RNA". It matches the Rfam family "Bacterial small subunit ribosomal RNA", at positions 524 to 776 of the family's 1533-position model. The record is from RNAcentral.